CCUACGGGAGGCAGCAGUAGGGAAUAUUGCUCAAUGGGGGAAACCCUGAAGCAGCAACGCCGCGUGGUGGAUGAAGGUUUUCGGAUUGUAAACCUCUUUUGUUAGAGAAGAUAAUGACGGUAUCUAACGAAUAAGCACCGGCUAACUCCGGGCCAGCAGCCGCGGUAAUACGGAGGGUGCAAGCGUUACUCGGAAUCACUGGGUGUAAAGAGCGCGUAGGCGGGAUGGCAAGUCAGAUGGGAAAUCCUAGGGCUUAACCAUAGAACUGCAUUUGAAACUGUUAGUCUGGAGUAUGGGAGAGGUAGGUGGAAUUCUUGGUGUAGGGGUGAAAUGCGUAGAGAUCAAGAGGAAGACUAGUGGCGAAGGCGACCUGCUGGAACAUAACUGACGCUGAUGCGCGAAAGCGUGGGGAGCAAACAGGAUUAGAUACCCGUGUAGUC
RNAcentral lists this ribosomal RNA (440 nucleotides) under uncultured bacterium. RNAcentral's name for it is "partial 16S ribosomal RNA". It matches the Rfam family "Bacterial small subunit ribosomal RNA", at positions 338 to 795 of the family's 1533-position model. The record is from RNAcentral.